GGGGGAUUAGCUCAGUUGGGAGAGCGAUGCGUUCGCAACGCAUAGGUCGAGGGUUCGAAUCCCUUAUCCUCCACCA
Molecule: transfer RNA, 76 nt
Filed under: Deltaproteobacteria bacterium
Lineage: Bacteria; Pseudomonadati; Myxococcota; Myxococcia
Description: tRNA-Ala
Rfam family: tRNA
About the family: Transfer RNA (tRNA) molecules are approximately 80 nucleotides in length. Their secondary structure includes four short double-helical elements and three loops (D, anti-codon, and T loops). Further hydrogen bonds mediate the characteristic L-shaped molecular structure. tRNAs have two regions of fundamental functional importance: the anti-codon, which is responsible for specific mRNA codon recognition, and the 3' end, to which the tRNAs corresponding amino acid is attached (by aminoacyl-tRNA synthetases). tRNAs cope with the degeneracy of the genetic code in two manners: having more than one tRNA (with a specific anti-codon) for a particular amino acid; and 'wobble' base-pairing, i.e. permitting non-standard base-pairing at the 3rd anti-codon position.
Source: RNAcentral